This 75-nucleotide transfer RNA is filed under the name Crassvirales sp. Its description in RNAcentral is "tRNA-Gln". It matches the Rfam family "tRNA". Rfam says of the family: Transfer RNA (tRNA) molecules are approximately 80 nucleotides in length. Their secondary structure includes four short double-helical elements and three loops (D, anti-codon, and T loops). The record is from RNAcentral. Lineage: Duplodnaviria; Heunggongvirae; Uroviricota; Caudoviricetes; Crassvirales.
UGCUCGUUGGUGUACUUGGUUUGUGCACGUCACGCUUUGAACGUGAAGGUUAAAGUUCGAGUCUUUAACGAGCAA